This 109-nucleotide non-coding RNA is filed under the name uncultured Phascolarctobacterium sp. RNAcentral's name for it is "SAM riboswitch (S box leader)". It matches the Rfam family "SAM riboswitch aptamer (S box leader)". From Rfam's summary of the family: The SAM riboswitch is found upstream of a number of genes which code for proteins involved in methionine or cysteine biosynthesis in Gram-positive bacteria. The SAM riboswitch acts at the level of transcription termination control. The record is from RNAcentral. Lineage: Bacteria; Bacillati; Bacillota; Negativicutes; Acidaminococcales; Acidaminococcaceae.
CUCAUCAAGAGCGGUGGAGGGAAUGGCCCUAUGAAGCCGCAGCAACCAUUGCGGAGUGACAUCCGUAAAACGGUGCUAAGUCCUGCAGCACUUUAGCUGUGAGAUGAGG